CCUACGGGUGGCAGCAGUGGGGAAUAUUGCACAAUGGGGGAAACCCUGAUGCAGCGACGCCGCGUGAGUGAAGAAGUAAUUCGGUAUGUAAAGCUCUAUCAGCAGGGAAGAAAAUGACGGUACCUGAGUAAGAAGCCCCGGCAAACUACGUGCCAGCAGCCGCGGUAAUACGUGGGGGGCAAGCGUUAUCCGGAUUUACUGGGUGAAAGGGGAGCGUAGACGGCAGUGCAAGUCUGGAGUGAAGGGCGGGGGAUCAACCGCCGGACUGAUCUGUGAACUGUACGGGUGAAGUGCAGGGGAGGUAAGUGAAAUUCCGGGUGUGGCGGUGAAAUGCGUGGAUAUUAGGAGGAACACGAGUGGCGAAGGCGGCUUAUUG
Molecule: ribosomal RNA, 376 nt
Filed under: uncultured bacterium
Lineage: Bacteria
Description: partial 16S ribosomal RNA
Rfam family: Bacterial small subunit ribosomal RNA
Source: RNAcentral